Molecule: ribosomal RNA, 742 nt
Filed under: uncultured bacterium
Lineage: Bacteria
Description: bacterial SSU rRNA
Rfam family: Bacterial small subunit ribosomal RNA
Source: RNAcentral
AGAGUUUGAUCCUGGCUCAGAGCGAACGCUGGCGGCAUGCUUAACACAUGCAAGUCGCACGGUCAGCAAUGGCAGUGGCGGACGGGUGAGUAACGCGUAGGAAUCUAUCUCUGGGUGGGGGACAACCGUGGGAAACUACGGCUAAUACCGCAUGAUACCUGAGGGUCAAAGGCGUAAGUCGCCUGGAGAGGAGCCUGCGUCUGAUUAGCUAGUUGGUGGGGUAAAGGCUUACCAAGGCGACGAUCAGUAGCUGGUCUGAGAGGAUGAUCAGCCACAUUGGGACUGAGACACGGCCCAAACUCCUACGGGAGGCAGCAGUGGGGAAUAUUGGACAAUGGGCGCAAGCCUGAUCCAGCAAUGCCGCGUGUGUGAAGAAGGUCUUCGGAUUGUAAAGCACUUUUGGCAGGGACGAUGAUGACGGUACCUGCAGAAUAAGCCCCGGCUAACUUCGUGCCAGCAGCCGCGGUAAUACGAAGGGGGCUAGCGUUGCUCGGAAUGACUGGGCGUAAAGGGCGCGUAGGCGGCUGUCACAGUCAGAAGUGAAAUUCCUGGGCUCAACCUGGGGACUGCUUUUGAUACGUGGUGGCUUGAGUGGGGAAGAGGGUUGCGGAAUUUCCAGUGUAGAGGUGAAAUUCGUAGAUAUUGGAAAGAACACCGGUGGCGAAGGCGGCAACCUGGUCCUUUACUGACGCUGAGGCGCGAAAGCGUGGGGAGCAAACAGGAUUAGAUACCCUAGUAGUCC